GACCUGGCUCAGGAUGAACGCUAGCUACAGGCUUAACACAUGCAAGUCGAGGGGCAGCAUGAACUUAGCUUGCUAAGUUUGAUGGCGACCGGCGCACGGGUGAGUAACACGUAUCCAACCUGCCGAUGACUCGGGGAUAGCCUUUCGAAAGAAAGAUUAAUACCCGAUGGCAUAGUUCUUCCGCAUGGUAGAACUAUUAAAGAAUUUCGGUCAUCGAUGGGGAUGCGUUCCAUUAGGUUGUUGGG
This 245-nucleotide ribosomal RNA is filed under the name uncultured bacterium. RNAcentral describes it as "partial 16S ribosomal RNA". It matches the Rfam family "Bacterial small subunit ribosomal RNA", at positions 16 to 253 of the family's 1533-position model. The record is from RNAcentral.